Molecule: ribosomal RNA, 230 nt
Filed under: uncultured bacterium
Lineage: Bacteria
Description: partial 16S ribosomal RNA
Rfam family: Bacterial small subunit ribosomal RNA
Source: RNAcentral
UAGGUAACCUGCCUCUAAGAUUGGGAUAACUUGUCGAAAGACGAGCUAAUACCAAAUAAGACCACGGUCUCCUCGGGGACAGAGGUCAAAGGUAGCCUCUAUUUAUAAGCUAUCGCUGAGAGAUGGGCCUGCGUACCAUUAGCUUGUUGGUGAGGUAACGGCUCACCAAGGCAAAGAUGGUUAGCUGGUCUGAGAGGAUGGCCAGCCACAUUGGGACUGAGACAGCCCAG